GCAGCCAAAUGAGCGGAGACCAACCUUUCCCUCCUUUUCCAUGGGAAUCUGUGCUUGGGAAUUUGUUUCCCCAUGACAUCUUCGCUCUGGAGGGCCUGCUACCCAGACCCGUAGGCCCAAAUGCAGGCAUGACCCUUUGUCACAGUUCUGUUUGAAAGUAGCCCGGUCGCUUCCAGUUGGCGACUUCCCUCGGGUCUUUUGUGGCAUCCACAAUAGCCACGCCCACAGCCGUGUUUCAAAGGAAAGGGGCCAAGCUGAUGUCAGCAGAAGGUGUCUUUGCCAUACUUCUUGGGCGAACCAGGACCUCUGGAGAUCAGAAGCUUUCAGGCUAAUGGAGGAGAUACAGGACAGAUACAGAUGCUCUCAGGCACACGCUGCUCUGGUUCCUCGGGGUGGGGUAGGUAGACCCUCAGUUAAGUUUAGCCUCUCCAGAGCAGACCGCAGACUGAUGAUUUUGUUUUCUAGAUUCUGUGCUGAUGCCCAACUACCCCAAGGUCCACAUCACAGGGGGAUAAGAGGUGAGGCUGGGGCUCGGAGCAUAGAUCCCAGCAUCUAGAAGAAAUGGUUCUUGAAGGCACAACUGCCCAAAAGCUUUCUAGGUGGACUCGAAACCUAAUCUCACACUGACUGAACCGUUGAAAAACAAGCCACUAUUAAGGAAGAUGCGUCAUUUACAGGCAUUUGGUCUUAAUUUUAACUACUGAGCUUAACGAUGCUGAAGCAGCUCUGCCCACCUUCUGCACAAGGACUCAUUCCCAGCAUCGUUUUCAACACUCGCUAAUAAGAGCUGGGAUUUGUGUCACAUAAAAUGCCCCCUGCUCGUGCAAUUGGACUUUGAAAUGAACAUCGACUGUGUUGACUUCAGCCUCCAGGCCCGUGACUGCUUUGUACACCUCCAGCUUCCCAAGCAUUUCUUUGUCAACUGGCAUAGGAUAAUGGGCACCCAGAGUGGGCAGGGAAUGGCUCCAUUUUUUUUACCUCAUUAUUCAAAUUAGUGUGGAAUGGUACCGCUCCAACUUCAUUUUACAACCAGCAUCAGGGAAACACUGGUUCUCUCUGGAUACUCUUCCUCCUUCCAAAUUGUAGCCUCUGUGUGAACGACUCCUCCUUAGGACAGGAAACUACUGCUGAAGAAGACAAAGGCAGUCCCAGUGAGCGACUGCACCUAGACUCCAAACAAAAUGCUUGAUAAUGACAUCACCAUCCAAAGGUCCUUGGGAAACCAAGAAUCAUGACCUGGGAUUGCCAGAAUAAGCGUUUAAACCUCGAGGGUGAAAGCCGAUUCGCUCUUGCUUUCUGAGGGGUCUGAGGGAACCUGAGCAGGCCUCUCAUGUGUGGGGACAAGCAUUCAGUGGGCUUUCAAAGGACCCUUCCCCCUCCCAGGAAGGCCCAAACCCUGGCAGAGGCUUUUAUUUCCAUGUCUUAGAUGAUUUACCAAGUGCCAGCUGCUUUUCCUAAAUGAGGCCCAGCUGGAAACACACCCCCAUGGUUUCUGAGGUGCCUGUGUCUCUUGUUCUGUCUGCCCCGCCCCACAAAGCAGGAUUCUGCUCCCCAAAGCAGAACUCUCUCUGUUUCUUAGACACAGCCGGCCUGAAAUCUGAGGUGCCCCUCACCUGCCUCUUUCAGUUGUCUCUGUGUGCCUUCUCAUGACGUACCUCCCUUCAUUUGGGACUUUCAGCUCUGCUGGCUCUCUGAACACUGUUGCUAUAUCCCUGGGAUAAAGAAUGAGGCUCUGUACAUGAACCCCAUACAGGUUUGGGCAGGAGAGCUCUGACCUAGCGCUAUCAAAACCACCACAGCAAAGGAGAGCCAGCUUUCCUCUGCUGUGGUGCAAAGAAUGGGAAAUGCUCCCUGGCAGAGCAAAGCUUACCACACUAUGACCACACUCUAACUUGCCUGACUUGCAGAUAACAGCAAUCUUACUUGUGAAAAUAAUAUAUGCAGACAGUUAGAUGUUUCCCCUUAAUUAGUGGCUUGAAGUUUGAAGACAGGCGGUAUAUUCUUCUGUAGUAAUCAGUACAGGGACCUCUAUUUUAGCCAUAAAUAUCAUGUUACUGGACACUCCUCUACUACCCAAGCCAUUAAGAGCUAAUGCCUAGAUUACCGCUGUCACGACAGCAGGAACUUUCUCUUCCUCCACCUCUGUGUAGGGUUUUUACACUCCGGCAGACAUGCUUAGUCAACACUAACGCUAGACACUAACACUAAGAGCCUAGACAUGCUACUUCUUAUAUGCUCGAGGAGAACAUGAAUCCAGUUACAUUGCCUGGGUACCACCUUAGAUUAUUAUCUCAUUCUGGGGUCAUUUCUAAGUUCAUGACUUGUUCAGUCAUUACCAGGUCUCUCAGAGACCCUUUACAGCUAUAGUAGACAAACAGAUAGACCAUUGUUUUGAUUGCUAAGCAAUAGGUCAUCCUUUCUGAAGUUCAUUGAAAAGUAGAGUCCUGUCCAAGACAGACUAGAGUCCACACCUGUGUGUCAUCCACACUCCAUCCCUCAGGCUGUGUAGGGCCUUGGACAGCCAUGUAGGUGUCUGUGUCAAUGUGCUAUAUUUAUGUGUAUGUUUGUUCACAUGACUACAUAUGUACAUGGGCAUGUGUGUGUGAGGAGGUCAGUGGUCAACCUCAAGUGUCACUCCUCAGCAACCCUCUACCUUGUUAUCUUAAGACAGGGUCUCAUAAUGAAUUCUCGACUGUCCUGGAAAUUACUCUGUAGACCAGGCUACCUCCAAAGUCACAGCAAUCUGCUUGUCUCUGCUUCAAGAGUGCUUGAAUUAAAGGUGUGUGCCACCA
This is a long non-coding RNA of Mesocricetus auratus (golden hamster), 2792 nucleotides long. RefSeq lists it as uncharacterized. NCBI's taxonomy places the organism in Eukaryota, Metazoa, Chordata, Mammalia, Rodentia, Cricetidae. The transcript is spliced from 3 exons. The record is from RefSeq and is a predicted model, not a curated record.